AUUGAACGCUGGCGGCAGGCCUAACACAUGCAAGUCGAGCGGACGAAGGGAGCUUGCUCCUGGAUUCAGCGGCGGACGGGUGGGUAAUGCCUAGGUAUCUGCCUGGCAGUGGGGGAUAACGUCCGGACACGGGCGCUAAUACCGCAUAAGUCCUGAGGGCGAACGUGGGGGAUCUUCGGACCUCACGCUAUCAGAUGAGCCUAGGUCGGAUUAGCUAGUUGGUGGGGUAAAGGCCUACCAAGGCGACGAUCCGUAACUGGUCUGAGAGGAUGAUCAGUCACACUGGAACUGAGACACGGUCCAGACUCCUACGGGAGGCAGCAGUGGGGAAUAUUGGACAAUGGGCGAAAGCCUGAUCCAGCCAUGCCGCGUGUGUGAAGAAGGUCUUCGGAUUGUAAAGCACUUUUAUUAGGGAAGAAGAGCAGUAAGUUAAUACCUUGCUGUUUUGACGGUACCAACAGAAUAAGCACCGGCUAACUUCGUG
RNAcentral lists this ribosomal RNA (484 nucleotides) under uncultured bacterium. RNAcentral's name for it is "partial 16S ribosomal RNA". It matches the Rfam family "Bacterial small subunit ribosomal RNA", at positions 30 to 507 of the family's 1533-position model. The record is from RNAcentral.